UUGAGUUUUGUUCUCUCCAUCCUUGAAUUAAAAGAAAAAACGUUUUUAGCUACAUCUUGCACAAUGAAAUAAAUGUACAUACACUCUAAAUUUAGUGAAAAUUUUAUCUAACUGUCUUUGAAAAAUUGAGCUAACCAAAACCUCCUGGAAUCAUUCUUUCGUGAAAGAAAGAAGUAUAAAGGGAGAAACAGAAAUUGCCAAAUGCCUGAAAAUGAAAAAGUUUACACAUUGAAGUUAGUCAACACAUUGAAAAAGCCAAAACUAUAAGUACAUGAAUUAAAAAGCCACAACUACAAUUUCUAUAUUGCUAUUUCGUCGGCUUUCCUUCAUUUUUUUUUGAGCUUUGCUAAUAUCAGCCGUUGAAGCUUCAAUAAUAAUUUAGAUUACCAAAAAAAUCCCAUCUCAUAUCUUUCCCUCAGAUUUAUUUUAUCAUAAAACAAACACUCAUCAAACCAAGCAUAUCUAGGAGUCUGAGAUAUACAUUUACUUUCUGAAAAAAUUUCAACAUAUAAGAGAACCUCAUGCUUAACUAUGCUUAAGAGGUAUCCAAAAAAUAAAGGCGUCCUAAAGAAAAUGGCCAAAGAGAAUUAAAGAUAUGACAAAUAUAAACCUGCAAUCAUAGCUUAGAUUGUAAACCGAAACACUUGUCAGGAAGCUCUUGCUACGACCUCUAUAUCUACCUCAUUUAGGGCUUGGGCUUUGAUUCCUCCUUCCAAACCACUUGGUAAUGACGGAGUGUAGGUCCUUCUUCUCAUCGGAGAAGACGAAGAGAAGCUUAAAUCUCUCUAGUCUCUAUCUGCAAAUCAACAUAAACUGGAUCAUAAAGUAUACCAUGAAUUUUCAUACAUUAAAUAAAUUAAGACAAACAAAUGCAAGAGUUAUAGCAUCAGCCGCUAAGACACCUGGUUGGAAAUCAUAAGAUUCCCUUGCCUUGCAUGCAAUCUGCCAAAUCACAUAAAUGAGCAUAAAUAUAUGAGAAUACUACAACAAAUCAUACAAACAAAUACCACUUUUUCAAUUAUUUUAUUACAAACACUUACAAAAGUGAAACAAAUUGAAAUCCUAAACUAAACGAUUUCAAGCUUUGACUGGAAUCGUGAAUAUUGGACUUACGGGUUAAUACGGAGCCGUGCCACCCAAACAUCUAUGACGAAGAUCCUCAAAAAUAGCGAGCGAGGGCAUCGCCGGCCGUAGACACUGUUGGAUAAUAACUUGCAGGGAGAUCAGAUGUUGAUCUCGGUGCUGGGGCCUCUGCUAUUUAUAGUGGUCUCCCUCUAUCAGUUACGAAACGCUUGAGUUGUCGAAGUUAUAUAAAAAUUAAUAAUGGAGAGGGGAAUGAUAUGAGCAGUGAAAGGGCGCAGGCGGCAAACCAACAGAGGAAGUGGAAGACAGAGCAAUGAAUUGGAUUAGGUUAAUUCGUUAUUAGUUUAAGAGAUCCU
Molecule: long non-coding RNA, 1439 nt
Filed under: Brassica rapa (field mustard)
Lineage: Eukaryota; Viridiplantae; Streptophyta; Magnoliopsida; Brassicales; Brassicaceae
Description: long non-coding RNA (BRAP_LNC003915)
Source: RNAcentral